ACUAUCAACCCCUCCUCCGGCGCGCGCCCUGUGGCUAAACCAAACACCUCCACCGGCAGCAGGACCCGGCUGUGGACCAGAGCAUGAAGCCAGCUGACAGCACUAACCAACUCUAUCAUCUCCACUAGAGGGAGGGCUAUCUCACAACAAGGCCACCAAAGAGCUGCAGCAGAGGCCAGCUCCCCCUGUGGUGCCACAACAGUGGUGCGACCUUGUCACCAGGGUGCCAUGUGUCACAGUGGGGGGACCCAGAGGGAGAGGGUGGGG
This 267-nucleotide long non-coding RNA is filed under the name Cottoperca gobio. Its description in RNAcentral is "lncRNA (ENSCGOG00000015445.1)". Lineage: Eukaryota; Metazoa; Chordata; Actinopteri; Perciformes; Bovichtidae. The record is from RNAcentral.